RNAcentral lists this ribosomal RNA (437 nucleotides) under uncultured Clostridium sp. RNAcentral describes it as "partial 16S ribosomal RNA". It matches the Rfam family "Bacterial small subunit ribosomal RNA", at positions 341 to 792 of the family's 1533-position model. Lineage: Bacteria; Bacillati; Bacillota; Clostridia; Eubacteriales; Clostridiaceae. The record is from RNAcentral.
ACGGGAGGCAGCAGUGGGGGAUAUUGCACAAUGGAGGAAACUCUGAUGCAGCAACGCCGCGUGAGGGAUGAAGGUUUUCGGAUUGUAAACCUCUGUCCUUAGUGAAGAACUUAAUGACGGUAACUAAGGAGGAAGCUCCGGCUAACUACGUGCCAGCAGCCGCGGUAAUACGUAGGGAGCGAGCGUUGUCCGGAUUUAUUGGGUGUAAAGGGUGCGUAGGCGGCUAUAUAAGUCAGACGUGUAAUGCAGGGGCUUAACCUCUGAACUGCGUUUGAAACUGUGUGGCUUGAGUGGAGUAGAGGCAGAUGGAAUUUCCAGUGUAGCGGUGAAAUGCGUAGAUAUUGGAAGGAACACCAGUGGCGAAGGCGAUCUGCUGGGCUCUAACUGACGCUGAGGCACGAAAGCAUGGGGAGCAAACAGGAUUAGAUACCCUGGUA